CGGGACACGUGAAAUCCUGUUUGAACAUAGGGGGACCACCCUCUAAGCCUAAGUACUCUCUAGUGACCGAUAGUGAACAAGUACCGUGAGGGAAAGGUGAAAAGAACCCUGAAUAAGGGAGUGAAAUAGAACCUGAAACCAUACGCUUACAAGCGGUCGGAGCUGACUUGAUAAGUGACGGCGUGCCUUUUGCAUAAUGAGCCUACGAGUUACUUUAACUAGCGAGGUUAAGGCCUUCAGGGCCGGAUCCGUAGCGAAAGCGAGUCUGAA
RNAcentral lists this ribosomal RNA (270 nucleotides) under uncultured eukaryote. RNAcentral's name for it is "partial Bacterial large subunit ribosomal RNA". It matches the Rfam family "Bacterial large subunit ribosomal RNA", at positions 418 to 687 of the family's 2925-position model. The record is from RNAcentral.